RNAcentral lists this ribosomal RNA (494 nucleotides) under uncultured bacterium. Its description in RNAcentral is "partial 16S ribosomal RNA". It matches the Rfam family "Bacterial small subunit ribosomal RNA", at positions 28 to 507 of the family's 1533-position model. The record is from RNAcentral.
GACGAACGCUGGCGGCGUGCUUAACACAUGCAAGUCGAACGGUGAAGCGCCUUCCUUUUUGGUGGGUGUGGAUGAGUGGCGAACGGGUGAGUAACACGUGAGUAACCUGCCCCCUUCUUCUGGAUAACCGCAUGAAAGUGUGGCUAAUACGGGAUAUUCUGGGUCUGUCGCAUGAUGGGUCUGGGAAAGAUAUUGUUUCGGUGGGGGAUGGGCUCGCGGCCUAUCAGCUUGUUGGUGGGGUGAUGGCCUACCAAGGCGGUGACGGGUAGCCGGCCUGAGAGGGUGGACGGUCACACUGGGACUGAGACACGGCCCAGACUCCUGCGGGAGGCAGCAGUGGGGAAUAUUGCACAAUGGGCGCAAGCCUGAUGCAGCGACGCCGCGUGAGGGAUGGAGGCCUUCGGGUUGUGAACCUCUUUCGCCAGUGAAGCAGGCCUGCCUCGUUUGUGGGUGGGUUGACGGUAGCUGGAUAAGAAGCGCCGGCUAACUACGUG